RNAcentral lists this ribosomal RNA (327 nucleotides) under Triticum aestivum (bread wheat). RNAcentral describes it as "partial small subunit ribosomal RNA". The record is from RNAcentral. Lineage: Eukaryota; Viridiplantae; Streptophyta; Magnoliopsida; Poales; Poaceae.
AUGCAACAACUGUACAAGCUGCACGGUUUCCCCGGGGCUAUCGUAUCUGACCGCGACCCAGUUUUCACCAGCCACUUUUGGCAAGAACUGUUCAAGUAUGCAUGUACAGAAUUGCGCAUGAGCACGGCGAACCACCUGCAGAAUGACAGCCAAACCGAGAGGGUGAACCAGUGCAUCAAGACUUAUCUGCGCUGCUUCGUACAAGCAUGCCCGAAUCGAUGGAGUUUCUGGGUGCCUCUGGCGCAGUUCUGGUACAACUCAUCGCAUCACUCCGCCAUCGGGAUGACACCAUUCAAGGCCAUGUUUGGGAGAGAACCAAGGCACUGA